UGGGCAACCUGCCCCAGACACUGGGAUAACUCCGGGAAACCGGGGCUAAUACCGGAUACGACCUCGAGCGGCAUCUCUCGAGGUGGAAAGUUUUUCGGCUAGGGAUGGGCCCGCGGCCUAUCAGCUUGUUGGUGAGGUAACGGCCCACCAAGGCGACGACGGGUAGCCGGCCUGAGAGGGCGACCGGCCACACUGGGACUGAGACACGGCCCAGACUCCUACGGGAGGCA
RNAcentral lists this ribosomal RNA (230 nucleotides) under uncultured bacterium. RNAcentral's name for it is "partial 16S ribosomal RNA". It matches the Rfam family "Bacterial small subunit ribosomal RNA", at positions 118 to 350 of the family's 1533-position model. The record is from RNAcentral.